Molecule: ribosomal RNA, 632 nt
Filed under: Rotylenchulus reniformis
Lineage: Eukaryota; Metazoa; Nematoda; Chromadorea; Rhabditida; Hoplolaimidae
Description: SSU rRNA
Rfam family: Eukaryotic small subunit ribosomal RNA
Source: RNAcentral
AUCAGAUACCGCCCUAGUUCUGACCGUAAACGAUGCCAACUAGCGAUCCGCCAGUCGACUCAUCGCUCUGGUGGGGAGCUUCCCGGAAACGAAAGUCUUCCGGUUCCGGGGGAAGUAUGGUUGCAAAGCUGAAACUUAAAGGAAUUGACGGAAGGGCACCACCAGGAGUGGAGCCUGCGGCUUAAUUUGACUCAACACGGGGAAACUCACCCGGCCCGGACACCGUAAGGAUUGACAGAUUGAUAGCUUUUUCAUGAUUCGGUGGAUGGUGGUGCAUGGCCGUUCUUAGUUCGUGGAGCGAUUUGUCUGGUUUAUUCCGAUAACGAGCGAGACUCUGGCCUACUAAAUAGUUGACGCAUUGCCACUGUGCGCACAACUUCUUAGAGGGAUUUUCGAUGUUUUCAACCGCACGAAAUUGAGCAAUAACAGGUCUGUGAUGCCCUUAGAUGUCCGGGGCUGCACGCGCGCUACACUGGCAAACGCAACGUGCCUGUCCUGCCCCGAAAGGAGCGGGUAAACCCCUGAAAUUUUGCCGUGAUUGGGAUCGGACAUUGCAACUAUUGUCCGUGAACGAGGAAUUCCUUGUAGGGGCGAGUCAUCAACUCGUCCCGAAUACGUCCCUGCCCUUUGUA